ACUCCUACGGGAGGCAGCAGUGGGGAAUAUUGCACAAUGGGCGCAAGCCUGAUGCAGCCAUGCCGCGUGUGUGAAGAAGGCCUUCGGGUUGUAAAGCACUUUCAGUUGUGAGGAAGGUGGUGUCGUUAAUAGCGGCAUCAUUUGACGUUAGCAACAGAAGAAGCACCGGCUAACUCCGUGCCAGCAGCCGCGGUAAUACGGAGGGUGCGAGCGUUAAUCGGAAUUACUGGGCGUAAAGCGCAUGCAGGUGGUUUGUUAAGUCAGAUGUGAAAGCCCGGGGCUCAACCUCGGAACUGCAUUUGAAACUGGCAGACUAGAGUACUGUAGAGGGGGGUAGAAUUUCAGGUGUAGCGGUGAAAUGCGUAGAGAUCUGAAGGAAUACCGGUGGCGAAGGCGGCCCCCUGGACAGAUACUGACACUUCAGAUGCGAAAGCGUGGGGAGCAAACAGGAUUAGAUACCCUGGUAGCACAGAG
RNAcentral lists this ribosomal RNA (474 nucleotides) under uncultured bacterium. RNAcentral describes it as "bacterial SSU rRNA". It matches the Rfam family "Bacterial small subunit ribosomal RNA", at positions 335 to 799 of the family's 1533-position model. The record is from RNAcentral.